AUAUUUUUCUGCAUCCUACCAGAGAUUCAUUCGGUAUUCCGGUACUCCUUUCUGAAAGCAUCGUCCGAACGGGGGGGCCUCCGACCUCUCGCGCGAGGCAACCUCAUGGCCCCGGCGCGGCGGCGGCGGCGUGAGCACCGGUCUCUCUCUCGUAAGCACGGUAGUAAUUCUUGGUGUCGGUGACGUCACCGGGAAGACAGACGACGAUUACGCGAUCCCGAGAGGGGGGCCGGACCACCCACGCGUCACUCUGGUGUCCACCACUGAGAACGUAUAGUAAACGUUCUCCACUCGUUGAUGAAGGCGAGACGUUGCGAGACGUCUCUCUCCCUUCCCCUCUUUCUUCCCCCUUUCCUUUCUUUCUCUCCCUUUCGGCGCUCGGUAUCGAAGCAAAACCAACGAUUAUCCGUACGCGCGAAUCAUGCCCGAUCACGGCGAUUAUCGGCUUAUCCAUGCGGCCGGAUGGCGGCCAGAGCACUGUUUUAUUUUCCGCGGGCAAAAGCGGCUGGCCAGGCUGCUGGUGGCCGUCGGCUCGUUAUGUCUCGACGUGUCGACGUCGACGUCGACGUCGCGAAACGCCGGGCACGAUGCGCGGGGCCCGGCUAAAGGCUAAAGUUAGCCCGAAUGUCCCUGAACGGCGAGUCCCUGUCCUUAAUGCACGAUGAACGGCGCGAUCGAUCGGCGCGAACGGUAAUUAGCGAUGCCGAUCCGCAGCAGUAGCAGCAGCAGCAACAACAGCAGUCGCCGCCGCCGCCGCCGCCGCCGCUGUCACGUCGGUUGCCAAUUCCGUCGACCAUCGAUCCGUUCAAUAAUCGCAGUUUGCUCGCGAGGGAAAAGCAAACCCGCCGAUGUUUGAGUGCGAACGCAUCAAAUGCGACUCUCGUUCGUUAGAACGACCCGAAUAUUUCGACCACGUGAUGACGCCGGUAAUCUCGCUGCCAGAAGCAUAAAUCUGACGUAUCCGGAGAGGCACGAUACGCUCCAUUAAAAUUCCACAAAGACGUGCAAUGGAAUCGGAGAAUGAAGAAUCAUGAAACACGCGAGACACGAGUGGGUGAUGGAGCAUCGGCUGCGCAAUCCACCGGUCCGGACCACUUCCCCGACUGGCGCCGAAAAUAAACGUGUACGUCGACAGCGUAUCGGGAUGCAAACCAAAAUAAAUCGACGCUGCGUCUUGCGACGUCUCGCUUCGCGAAUUUACUCGUCAGAUUAUCCGACGCGUCCACCGGCAGGCAAUCGUAUAAUUAAUCUAAGAAAUCUUUUGCUCAAUAAAAUGAUCCACAAUGCAA
Wasmannia auropunctata (little fire ant) is the source of this 1289-nucleotide long non-coding RNA. RefSeq lists it as uncharacterized. The record is from RefSeq and is a predicted model, not a curated record. NCBI's taxonomy places the organism in Eukaryota, Metazoa, Arthropoda, Insecta, Hymenoptera, Formicidae. The transcript is spliced from 2 exons.